RNAcentral lists this ribosomal RNA (407 nucleotides) under Macroprotodon abubakeri. RNAcentral describes it as "partial 16S ribosomal RNA". It matches the Rfam family "Bacterial large subunit ribosomal RNA", at positions 1969 to 2589 of the family's 2925-position model. The record is from RNAcentral. Lineage: Eukaryota; Metazoa; Chordata; Lepidosauria; Squamata; Colubridae.
UUGUCUACUAAUUAUAGACCAGCAUGAAAGGCAAAAUGAGGGUCUAACUGUCUCUUAUAAUAAAUCAAUGAAACUGAUCUCCUAGUAAAAAAGCUAGAAUUACAUCAUAAGACCAGAAGACCCUGUGAAGCUUAAACUAAACUAUUAAACCCAAUAAUAACUACUUUCGGUUGGGGCGACCUUGGAAAAAAAAAGAACUUCCAAACACCGUGACUUUACCUCACACAAAUAGGCCCACAAGCCAAACAACGACCCAGCAUAGCUGAAAACUGAACCAAGUUACUCCAGGGAUAACAGCGCAAUCUUCUUUAAGAGCCCAUAUCAAAAAGCAAGGUUUACGACCUCGAUGUUGGAUCAGGACAUCCUAAUGGUGCAGCCGCUAUUAAGGGUUCGUUUGUUCAACGAUU